CAAUUACAUUGCUUUAGUUUGUCCCUCUUUUUUCUACCUACAAGUGAAACCUGUGGGUGUGGUGGAUGGGACACUCUGGACUACCUCGGGUCUGAAAGGCUGCCUGAUUUUAGAAUCCUUGUUGUGCUCAAGUGAGCUAUAUCACAGUAACUGGUCUCUACUUUUAAUUUUAGUAAAUAACUUAACGUAUUUUAUUUAUUCUCCUUAAAGAACUCUUAUUGAACCAGUAGGAAGAUGAGUUGAAGAAAGCCAAUCUGUGAGGCUGCUUCAGAUUUCCAUAAUCCAUUCGAAGACCGACAGAAGUAAGAUGUUGCAUUGGACACUGCCCUGUACCUCUCUGUUUUCAACAAGAGCUCACGAGACUGAGAAAUUUGCAGCCUCCUUAGCCUUGUGUCCAGUGCUGCAAAGACUUCUGGGCAUCCCGGCCGCAGCUGGCACUGCCGCAGUGCGCAUGGCACACCCUGAAGCUGCUCUGGACACCUCCACCUGCAUACAGGCUCUUGCAGUGCCUGGUGCCUGUGAAAUCUGCCACCUUCCAAACAGAAUCACUUGGUGUUUGUGACUCUGCAAAAUGCCUGCACAUCUCGGCGCGGUCACAGGUCUGUUCAAGUCCAUCAGCCCGGGCUCCACCGUCAUCAGAGCACCCGAGGAACCGCAUCCUAGAAAGUGAGAUCAUUUGAGCAGAUUUACAACUUUGAUCAAAGUUAAUUCUCAUGCACGUUGGCUGAAAACGGUGACAGGGACCCAGGACAACAAUGCGUAGAGCUUCUCUGGCUGCCCUCCAUCCUCUUGGAUCUUCUGGACAGUCUCACAUGAAUGUGAUGGAAGAUGUGAUUCCACCUCUGUUUCAGAUGGAAAAGGAAAUGGAACUGUGUGAGAACUGACCUUACUCGAUCUGUGAUGCUGGGCUGUUUCAUCCCCAGUUGCCUAAGGAAACGGCUGUGUUGAGAGACAUUUUUCAGCGUUUUUUUUUUGUGUGUGAGAUGCUGGUUGAAAAGAGCCCUACUUUUUGAAUUCCAGCUCUGAAAAUUAUGUGGCCUUGGAAAAGCAACAAAUUAUCAAAAGGAAAGCAAGAAAAAGGGGGAAAAAAUGUGCUGUCCAGCGAAAGAAGACAACUUGCUUGACUUCUCUCAGCGAGAAGAAAGACUUGGAAACUUCUGUUCAGCACACCGGACUUGUCACUGUCAUCAUCAAGCCAUCAAACUCAACACAAGAGCCACAAAAUGAUCAAAAAUGCAGAAUGUGACUGUAGCAGUGCCUGGCAGGUGGCUGCGGGGAGCUGAUGGCGCACAAGGACCGUGGGGAGCAGACAGAUGCUGAAACAGUCCCAGCCCAAACACCCACAGGUAGGCUUGGUCUCAAGCCAGUCUUUAAAAUCGGAAUAUUUCACUUAGAAAUUUUGCAUUGUUCAUU
Ochotona curzoniae (black-lipped pika) is the source of this 1413-nucleotide long non-coding RNA. RefSeq lists it as uncharacterized. Lineage: Eukaryota; Metazoa; Chordata; Mammalia; Lagomorpha; Ochotonidae. The record is from RefSeq and is a predicted model, not a curated record. The transcript is spliced from 7 exons.